GUAGCAGAAUGUCUUGUCUAUUCUCCCAAAGCUUGUGACAGAAACUGUGUGGGUGCCUGAUCACUAUUUUGCAUUUCACUACAAUGUUACUUCAUUACAAUCGCUUUGUUCUUAACAUCAGUUAAAGGCAGCUUGAAAAUACAGAGUUCAAAUGAUGCAAGAUAUGAACACACUUUAAGGAUCUUAAACUGGAAUAAGCAAAAUGUAUAACCACUGCCUAGGCCUUGACCCGGUUCCUGCACGUUACAUGUGACUAACUAAAUGUUCACUCCACUUCCACCUGUGAUCGCAAAAUUGUACAAUAAGAUAUUCCCAGUGUUCAUCUUCCUUCAUUUGUAUAUUAAUCUGAAUUUGGCCACAUUUCUUAAGUGAUGUUUAUCUAAGGGUACUAAUACUCUUGGUAUUAAGACAUAAUUUCCAGUUGCUUUGUUUUUAAUUCAUAGAAUGAAAUGAAAAUGGGGUUAUUAUUGUUGUUAUAUUUCUUAUUUAUGGGCAUGAAAAUAUUCUUAUUAGCUGUGGACAGUAAUUCUGAGUUUAUUGUAUUUUAAAUUAAUGUGUUCAUGCUAUUGUGUCUUUUUAACAGGCAAUAACUUCAGACCGGCUUUGUGAAAAUGUUUCCUGCUACUGGAAAAUAACAAAACAGCCAUGGUAGAAGUAUCCAUUCUGAAUGGAUGUGUUCCAAAUUGAGCAGGAUUAAAGCCACAUUCACACAGGGUGGAAUGAGCAAAUGAUCCACAAGAAAAAGACAAGACGGAGCAAGGUGAUUGCUCCAUACCACUCCCUUUCCUCAAUCAGCAGCAAACCUGUUCCCCAAAACAGAGCAAAGAGGUAUUCAAUAGAGAGAGAGAAAAUUCCUGUCUGCUUCUUCGACCUGUAACCAUUUUUUUUUCGAGGUGAAAAGACCCAUUUUGCAAAGCUAAAGGAAGGGAGAGUGGGAAGAGGAGAUAAUAGACAAGAUAUCAAAAGACAGGGAGAGCAGAGGAAAAGUAAAGGAUGGGGACACAAAAGCAGAAUUGUGGACAGGUGUGAUUGUUAUUGUUUUGAUAUGUUGCUAGUAUGUUCCCAUUUACUUCCAAAACACAAUUACUGCUAGACAACAAGAUGGUGGGUUAAAGUUCUUAUAUAGAGGCUAUCUUUUAUAGAAUAUUGCAACCAAAGCAACCAAAGAAGGUCAUGAUUUCUUCUGCUGAUAAUGAAGAUAUUUCCUUAGAUCAAAUUUUACUAUAUUUUAAUCAUGUGAUAAUACAUUGGUGAAAAUGCAAUUCAAUGCCUGCUGAAGACCUGUCAGGGUGAUGUGUAAAUAAUCAAUUACUUUCUUCAAGGCUAUUAUUAGCUCUGUGUUACAAAGAAUAAUGUAACACAUUGAGAUUGCAAUCCCACAGACAUAUCUGAACAAACAUGCAUAAAAUUACACUCCUGUAAAUCUAGACAUUUGGUCUUAAUUGCUUUCUAGGGAAACCAUAUUUGCUCAUCAGUUGGCAUAAAUAACCAAAUGGACACACAGGGAUAAUGAUAAUAAGUUUUUGGAUAAAAAUAACUAUUCUUUGAAAGUGGUGGAAGUGUAAAUACAGGCUGAUAGGUUUUAUAAUUACUGAUGAGUAAAAGAGUCUUAAUGUUCUUAAAUGAUUUUAAACGUCUGGACUGUAAGGUGUUGAGCAUCUUCAUGGUAUGGGAAGGGCAGUCAGGAGAUGUUCCCAGAAUAUGUGCAGAGUGAUACAUCAGCAAAGCUGAAUGCAACUAGAAACAAUAUCAUUUGAUUUCAGUACAUUCUGGAAUUGUUAGAAACUUUCUUCUUCCAUUUGAAUUUAAAAGUUUUAUUUAGUUCUUUUUCUUAAAUCAUCUAAGCAAAAAACUAUCUUUUACAGCAGAAGGUUCUUUCCAAUAAAGAUUUUAGUUCCUACUCACCCUUUUGUUUCCCUUGUGUAUGGCAAUGCAUUUAUUUUGAAAAUGUAAGUACAAAUUUCACCUUAGAAUGCAAUUAUAUAAGCUUGCUUACAAGCACUAUCUUUUUACUGAUUAGCCCUAUUAUCUUUCAUGAAAUAUCUCCUCACAUGGAUAUGUAGAAGUAUUCCAUGGAGAAAUAUAAAGCCUCUGAAGAACUAUUUCCUCAAACACAUUAAAGUAGUCAGAGAGAUUUUGUUGUUGUUGCAGGGAGUACAUGAUAUAUAAAGUCCAGAAUAGUUUCUUUGCAGAGUAGAACAGAGCAUGACUUAGACCCAUAUAGUUGAAGAUGAGUUGGCCUUUUGUUCAGUAGAACCUUGCUUCAUGUGUUCAGUUGUAAUGGCACAUCACUUUGUGGUAUAGAAAGUGUUAUAUAUUCAGUAAACUGGGCAGGGAAACUUUUGCAUAAAUAUUAAAAGGCGCCUUCUUCACCAGAGAUACAUCUAUACUGUAGAACUGACACCACUUUAGUGGCCAUGGAAUCAUAGAAGUUGUCAUUUUAAAAGGUUUUUAACCUUCUCUGCCAAAGAGUCUAGGUGCUUCGUCAAACUAAAUCUCGCAUGAUUCCAUAGCAUUGAGGUGUGGCAGUUAAAGUGGAAUUAAUUGCAUUAAUUCUAC
RNAcentral lists this long non-coding RNA (2559 nucleotides) under Anolis carolinensis (green anole). Its description in RNAcentral is "lncRNA (ENSACAG00000044117.1)". The record is from RNAcentral. Lineage: Eukaryota; Metazoa; Chordata; Lepidosauria; Squamata; Anolidae.